This 415-nucleotide long non-coding RNA is filed under the name Homo sapiens (human). RNAcentral describes it as "HSALNT0255118". The record is from RNAcentral. Lineage: Eukaryota; Metazoa; Chordata; Mammalia; Primates; Hominidae.
UCUGAGCGAGGGGCCGUGUCUCUUCAUUUUGCGCUGGGCUUCGCAGGUCUCUGGUUUUUGCAAUGCUGGAGUGACGCCUCUGGCUCAUAUAUCUGCCUGCCCCCACCCCCCAGCCCAAUCUUUGCAAAGGGAAUUGGGCAGUGGGCACAUGGAGGUGGGGCUCUCUCUCGUGUUCAUCCUGCGAGACUCAGGAGCCCCUCUCUUCCAUUUUGCCCUAAAUCCCAGCCUCUUACAAUCAUUUCUUGGUGUAUCACGGGCGCAUCCUCCUGGAAGACCCCGUCGGGCUUCUGCUUCUCCAGGAUCAGCCAUUUAACAGCCCCGCAGAGGACUUGGGAGUCGAUGGCGAUGAGGUUGACAGCCAGAGAGAAGACCUUGACCACGUAAUGCACAGCGAUGACCGUGGGCGUCAUGCCGA